RNAcentral lists this long non-coding RNA (657 nucleotides) under Phoenix dactylifera (date palm). Its description in RNAcentral is "long non-coding RNA (PDAC_LNC012568)". Lineage: Eukaryota; Viridiplantae; Streptophyta; Magnoliopsida; Arecales; Arecaceae. The record is from RNAcentral.
GGAGACAGAGAGAACAGUAAUAUAGAAAAAAACACCACGAGAGCAUGUUGGAGGAUAUAAUGGUGCAUAUUAUAUGCUCUUAUUUAUUGAAAAGGCACACCAUGUGCAUAGAGAUUGUAGAACUUGGUGAUCAAGCCAUUGAGUUGAACGGUUCCGAGGGCAAAGGUCAAGUAUGAGACCGCCAGUGUAACCCACAUGAUGCACUUCAUGAGGGACUUGGAUUCGGCAGGCACCAAGGUUGGUCCGGAGAGACACAAUUGAAGUAUUAGUGGCAAGGGAUAGGCUGUGAGGGAUGGGGUGGGCGAGGAAACUCCUCCUGGGAUCGGGAUUAAAUAGGGAUUGUGUAGGCGUGCAUUUGCAUCUCCUCCUCCUCAAUCUCUGCAUCUCAUCCUCCAGCAUUUGUGUCUUUGGAAUUUGUUUUCAUCUCUGCGUCUCCUCCCUUCUUUUUUAACUUAAAAGCGUCUCCUCCUUUUUGCUGGGCACUUUUGCAAGUCUUUUUCCUGGGCACUUGCAUCUCAUCCUCCUGAAUUUGUGUCUUUGGAAUUUGAUUUCAUAUUCUGGGGCAUUUGUGUCUUUUGGAUCUCAUUUUCUUGACUUUGUUAUUUGAUCUCCAGGCGUUUGUCUUUGGAUCUGAAUAUGAUGUCUUUGAUCUCAAAC